CUAUGAGUACCCUUAGCUCAUCCCUGAGGCCAUCCUCAAAGCGAACACUGCACUCAUAUUCGGUAGAGACAAUACCACUAGCAUAUCGGCUCAAUCGUAGAAACUUUGCCUCAUAUUCAGCAACGGUCUUACCAACCUGGGUCAGGUUCAGGAAUUCCUUCCUUCGCGCAUCCACAUAGCUAGCUCCAACAUACUUCGCCUUGAAGGACUGCUUAAACAACUCCCAAAUUACCCUCUCAGUUGGGGUACCCUCUCUUAUAGUGAUCCACCACUGAUAUGCCUCGUCCCGCAGUAAGGACACCGCCCCUUUUAACUUUUGCUCCACUCAGCAGUCCAGGUCAUCCAUAAUCUGCU
Molecule: long non-coding RNA, 354 nt
Filed under: Gossypium barbadense (sea-island cotton)
Lineage: Eukaryota; Viridiplantae; Streptophyta; Magnoliopsida; Malvales; Malvaceae
Description: long non-coding RNA (GBAR_LNC000539)
Source: RNAcentral